Xenopus tropicalis (tropical clawed frog) is the source of this 1013-nucleotide long non-coding RNA. RefSeq lists it as uncharacterized. NCBI's taxonomy places the organism in Eukaryota, Metazoa, Chordata, Amphibia, Anura, Pipidae. The record is from RefSeq and is a predicted model, not a curated record. The transcript is spliced from 3 exons.
AAAAAAAAAAAAAGGGUGCCAUUCAAGCCAGCACACGGAGGUAAUGCUCAAGAUGCAAGCUUGAUUUCCAAAAUCUCAACACUUGGAGCAAAUUGGUAAGUCUGCAAUUUUGUCUAUUCUGGGAGCUGUGCAAAUGCAAUGCCUGUUGGAGCAGACACCAGUUGCAGGUAAUUGGGUAAUUACUUGGCAGGGCAGUAUUCAGCUGUAGGUAAUGGGGUAGAUAGGUCCCCUCCCCCUUUUCUUCCUUCCCUUUCUCCUUCCUGGCUGUGAGGCUGAAGCCCCAGGAGUAUGAGGGCUUCUGAUCUGGCAGAUACUUCUAGGAACAAGGAGCGGCUCAGAGGAACGUGGCUCACAAUGCCUUUCUUUUCCUCGGGUGUUUACUACUUUAGCGGUUUCCAGCAGUGAUCGCUGAGAGAGCACGUUGUUUCAGGCGUGCUGGUAAGUAGUGGAAGUAAAAAGACCUUCGGGUCUAACUAUCCUCCUUCCUUAUCGGUAAGUGUUUGGUCCUCUUUCCCCAGAUGUGGGUUGCACAUUUGGUAUCAUUAUUUUGGUGUGGGCUUUACCUUUUUAUAGGUAAAGUCGUUACCCUGGCGAUUCACACAGCUCAAUCAUCUUUGAUUUCAGCCCCGAUUCCUGGGCAGAUAUAGGGUUCACAGGUUUUUACCAGAUAUUGGUUUCUACACCCCACAGUGGGGUUUUCACUUGGUUUGGGAUGUUUCUGGAAUAGAUUUAUACUCUGGGAUCCAGACUUCCUUCCUUUGUGGAACUUUUACCCUCCCGAUUAGGGAUAUUAGCUUGCUAUGUCCCAGUAAGUGUUGACAUGGAGUGGCCAGGGAAUGAGGAAAAUUGUAUCAUACUUACCGUGAUUUUCCUUUCCUGGCCACUCCAUGUCAAGAUUCCCACCCUUUUUCGGUAAGUUUCUAGAAGCUCAUUACUAGACACCGGAGUGGAGGUAGGGUUGGUCUUUUAAAGCUUUGGGGAGGGUCCUUCUGAUGGGAGCAGAGGGGAGGGGC